UACAGAGGUCUCAAGCGUUGUUCGGAAUUACUGGGCGUAAAGGGCUCGUAGGCGGCCAACUAAGUCGGACGUGAAAUCCCUCGGCUUAACCGGGGAACUGCGUCUGAUACUGGAUGGCUUGAGAUUGGGAGAGGGAUGCGGAAUUCCAGGUGUAGCGGUGAAAUGCGUAGAUAUCUGGAGGAACACCGGUGGCGAAGGCGGCAUCCUGGACCAACACUGACACUGAGGAGCGAAAGCCAGGGGAGCAAACGGG
RNAcentral lists this ribosomal RNA (253 nucleotides) under uncultured bacterium. RNAcentral's name for it is "partial 16S ribosomal RNA". It matches the Rfam family "Bacterial small subunit ribosomal RNA", at positions 524 to 776 of the family's 1533-position model. The record is from RNAcentral.